UACGGGGGGGGCAAGCGUUGUUCGGAAUUACUGGGCGUAAAGGGCUCGUAGGUGGCCAACUAAGUCAGACGUGAAAUCCCUCAGCUUAACUGGGGAACUGCGUCUGAUACUGGAUGGCUUGAGUUUGGGAGAGGGAUGCGGAAUUCCAGGUGUAGCGGUGAAAUGCGCAGAUAUCAGGAGGAACACCGAUGGCGAAGGCAGGUCUCUGGGCCACUACUGACGCUGAGAAGCGAAAGCAUGGGGAGCGAACAGG
This 253-nucleotide ribosomal RNA is filed under the name uncultured bacterium. RNAcentral's name for it is "partial 16S ribosomal RNA". It matches the Rfam family "Bacterial small subunit ribosomal RNA", at positions 524 to 776 of the family's 1533-position model. The record is from RNAcentral.